CCUACGGGCGGCAGCAGUGAGGAAUAUUGGUCAAUGGACGAAAGCCUGAACCAGCCAAGUAGCGUGAAGGAUGACUGCCCUAUGGGUUGUAAACUUCUUUUAUAUGGGAAUAAAACGUUCCACGUGUGGGAUUUUGCAUGUACCAUAUGAAUAAGGAUCGGCUAAUUCCGUGCCAGCAGCCGCGGUAAUACGGAGGAUCCGAGCGUUAUCCGGAUUUAUUGGGUUUAAGGGGAGCGUAGGUGGAUUGUCAAGCCGGUUGUGAAAGUUUGCGGCUCAACCGUGAAAUUGCAGUUGAAACUGGCAGUCUUGAGUACAGUUGAGGUGGGCGGAAUUCGUGGUGUAGCGGUGAAAUGCUUAGAUAUGACGAAGAACUCCGAUUGCGAAGGCAGUUCACUGGACUGCAACUGACGCUGAGGCUCGAAAGUGUGGGUAUCAAACAGGAUUAGAUACCCCAGUAGUC
RNAcentral lists this ribosomal RNA (460 nucleotides) under uncultured bacterium. RNAcentral's name for it is "partial 16S ribosomal RNA". It matches the Rfam family "Bacterial small subunit ribosomal RNA", at positions 338 to 795 of the family's 1533-position model. The record is from RNAcentral.